RNAcentral lists this ribosomal RNA (756 nucleotides) under uncultured bacterium. RNAcentral's name for it is "bacterial SSU rRNA". It matches the Rfam family "Bacterial small subunit ribosomal RNA", at positions 40 to 823 of the family's 1533-position model. The record is from RNAcentral.
CGGCGUGCCUAACACAUGCAAGUCGAGCGAUCUUCUUUCGGAAGAGAGCGGCCGACGGGUGAGUAACGCGUGGGUAACCUGCCCUGUACACACGGAUAACAUACCGAAAGGUAUGCUAAUACGGGAUAAUAUAUGAGAGUUGCAUAACUUUCAUAUCAAAGCUUUUGCGGUACAGGAUGGACCCGCGUCUGAUUAGCUAGUUGGUAAGGUAACGGCUUACCAAGGCUACGAUCAGUAGCCGACCUGAGAGGGUGAUCGGCCACACUGGAACUGAGACACGGUCCAGACUCCUACGGGAGGCAGCAGUGGGGAAUAUUGCACAAUGGGCGAAAGCCUGAUGCAGCAACGCCGCGUGAGCGAUGAAGGCCUUCGGGUCGUAAAGCUCUGUCCUCAAGGAAGAUAAUGACGGUACUUGAGGAGGAAGCCCCGGCUAACUACGUGCCAGCAGCCGCGGUAAUACGUAGGGGGCUAGCGUUAUCCGGAAUUACUGGGCGUAAAGGGUGCGUAGGUGGUUUUUUAAGUCAGAAGUGAAAGGCUACGGCUCAACCGUAGUAAGCUUUUGAAACUAAAGAACUUGAGUGCAGGAGAGGAGAGUAGAAUUCCUAGUGUAGCGGUGAAAUGCGUAGAUAUUAGGAGGAAUACCAGUAGCGAAGGCGGCUCUCUGGACUGUAACUGACACUGAGGCACGAAAGCGUGGGGAGCAAACAGGAUUAGAUACCCUGGUAGUCCACACCGUAAACGUUGGGCACUAGGUGU